CCUACGGGAGGCAGCAGUGAGGAAUAUUGGUCAAUGGACGAGAGUCUGAACCAGCCAAGUAGCGUGAAGGAUGACUGCCCUAUGGGUUGUAAACUUCUUUUAUAUGGGAAUAAAAUGUUCCACGUGUGGGAUUUUGUAUGUACCAUAUGAAUAAGGAUCGGCUAACUCCGUGCCAGCAGCCGCGGUAAUACGGAGGAUCCGAGCGUUAUCCGGAUUUAUUGGGUUUAAAGGGAGCGUAGGUGGAUUGUUAAGUCAGUUGUGAAAGUUUGCGGCUCAACCGUAAAAUUGCAGUUGAAACUGGCAGUCUUGAGUACAGUAGAGGUGGGGGGAAUUCGAGGUGUAGCGGUGAAAUGCUUAGAUAUCACGAAGAACUCCGAUUGCGAAGGCAGUUCACUGGACUGCAACUGACACUGAGGCUCGAAAGUGUGGGUAUCAAACAGGAUUAGAUACCCGUGUAGUC
Molecule: ribosomal RNA, 460 nt
Filed under: uncultured bacterium
Lineage: Bacteria
Description: partial 16S ribosomal RNA
Rfam family: Bacterial small subunit ribosomal RNA
Source: RNAcentral